RNAcentral lists this unclassified non-coding RNA (167 nucleotides) under uncultured fungus. RNAcentral's name for it is "sequence contains ITS1, 5.8S rRNA gene". The record is from RNAcentral. Lineage: Eukaryota; Fungi.
ACGAGUCGAGUGCUCUUGCGCUCGAUUUCUAACCCCAUGUCUAUUACCUUUGUUGCCUCGGCGAGCCGUCAUUCCACGAUUGACGCAGGCUCUGCUUGCGAGUGUUCGCCGCAGGGAAUUUUUUUAACGUCUUUGAAAAAACCGUCUGAAAUAUAAAUAUAAAAUCA